RNAcentral lists this transfer RNA (76 nucleotides) under Bacillota bacterium. RNAcentral describes it as "tRNA-Glu". It matches the Rfam family "tRNA". Rfam says of the family: Transfer RNA (tRNA) molecules are approximately 80 nucleotides in length. Their secondary structure includes four short double-helical elements and three loops (D, anti-codon, and T loops). Lineage: Bacteria; Bacillati; Bacillota. The record is from RNAcentral.
GCCCCCAUCGUCUAGCGGCCCAGGACACCGCCCUUUCACGGCGAAGGCACCGGUUCAAAUCCGGUUGGGGGUACCA